This 336-nucleotide long non-coding RNA is filed under the name Vigna radiata. Its description in RNAcentral is "long non-coding RNA (VRAD_LNC008158)". The record is from RNAcentral. Lineage: Eukaryota; Viridiplantae; Streptophyta; Magnoliopsida; Fabales; Fabaceae.
CUCCAUCACAAGGUGGAGUCUCUUGUUCUUCAUCAGACAAACAUAACUGAGAUUCACUAGAGGAAGAGUCCUCAUUGUCACUACCAUGCUCAAGCAUAUAGGUUGACCUCUACUCAGUAGAAUAGUGUCCUCUUUCCCCACACUUAAAACACCUGGUCUCCCUACUCUUUGAAUUUCGUGAGGGCUCCUUGUUAUUCAUGGCUUUCUCUUUCCCUUGUUCUCUUCUUAAAUCUCUUGGUGUGUCUCUUCCAAACUCUCUUUUUAACUCACGCUCUUUGCCUUUGGCUCUUUCUUUUUAUCUUUCGCGAUUAUCUUCAUACCUUGAAUAACUACCCU